GACGAACGCUGGCGGCGUGCCUAAUACAUGCAAGUAGAACGCACAGUUUAUACCGUAGCUUGCUACACCAUAGACUGUGAGUUGCGAACGGGUGAGUAACGCGUAGGUAACCUGCCUGGUAGCGGGGGAUAACUAUUGGAAACGAUAGCUAAUACCGCAUAAUAUUGAUUAUUGCAUGAUAAUUGAUUGAAAGAUGCUAUUGCAUCACUACCAGAUGGACCUGCGUUGUAUUAGCUAGUAGGUGAGGUAACGGCUCACCUAGGCGACGAUACAUAGCCGACCUGAGAGGGUGAUAGGCCAAACUGGGACUGAGACACGGCCCAGACGACUACGGGAGGCAGCAGUAGGGAAUCUUCGGCAAUGGACGAAAGUCUGACCGAGCAACGCCGCGUGAGUGAAGAAGGGUUUCGGAUCGUAAAGCUCUGUUGUAAGAGAAGAACGGGUGUGAGAGUGGAAAGUUCACACUGUGACGGUAUCUUACCAGAAAGGGACGGCUAACUACGUG
RNAcentral lists this ribosomal RNA (505 nucleotides) under uncultured bacterium. Its description in RNAcentral is "partial 16S ribosomal RNA". It matches the Rfam family "Bacterial small subunit ribosomal RNA", at positions 28 to 507 of the family's 1533-position model. The record is from RNAcentral.